CAGCAGUAGCCGCGGGAAUACGGAGGGUGCAAGCGUUAAUCGGAAUUACUGGGCGUAAAGCGUGCGUAGGCGGUUCGUUAAGUCUGUUGUGAAAGCCCCGGGCUCAACCUGGGAAUGGCAAUGGAUACUGGCGAGCUAGAGUGUGUCAGAGGAUGGUGGAAUUCCCGGUGUAGCGGUGAAAUGCGUAGAGAUCGGGAGGAACAUCAGUGGCGAAGGCGGCCAUCUGGGACAACACUGACGCUGAGGCACGAAAGCGUGGGGAGCAAACAGGAUUAGAUACCCGGGUAGUCCCUGUCUCUUAUAC
Molecule: ribosomal RNA, 304 nt
Filed under: uncultured bacterium
Lineage: Bacteria
Description: partial 16S ribosomal RNA
Rfam family: Bacterial small subunit ribosomal RNA
Source: RNAcentral